GAUGAAGAACGUAGCGAAAUGCGAUAAGUAAUGUGAAUUGCAGAAUUCAGUGAAUCAUCGAAUCUUUGAACGCACAUUGCGCCCGCCAGUAUUCUGGCGGGCAUGCCUGUUCGAGCGUCAUUUCAACCAUCAAGCCCCCGGCUUGUGUUGGGGACCUGCGGCUGCCGCAGGCCCUGAAAAGCAGUGGCGGGCUCGCUGUCACACCGAGCGUAGUAGCAUACAUCUCGCUCUGGGCGUGCUGCGGGUUCCGGCCGUUAAACCACCUUCAUAACCCAAGGUUGACCUCGGAUCAGGUAGGAAGACCCGCUGAACUUAAGCAUAUCAAUAAGCGGAUGA
RNAcentral lists this unclassified non-coding RNA (336 nucleotides) under soil metagenome. Its description in RNAcentral is "partial contains 5.8S ribosomal RNA, internal transcribed spacer 2, and large subunit ribosomal RNA". The stretch from base 1 to 120 matches the Rfam family "5.8S ribosomal RNA", at positions 35 to 154 of the family's 154-position model. The record is from RNAcentral.